GGAGUCUAGAAAAAAUGGCAGAGUUCCUGAUCAGUCCUAAUAGUGUUUGCACUUCUGAGGUCAGCUGGUUAAAUUUUGAGAGAAGAAGGAAACAACAAACAUAAUGAACUGAGGAUCUGACCUGACAUCCUGGUGUGAUAACUGACACAGCCAGCCUUCCUCCUCUGCAAGUUGGAAAGAUUUAGGAGUGAAUUAAGGCUUUCAUGUUUCUUCAGGUGUUGCUGUCACAACCUCACCAUAUAGAUAUGAGCCCUGCAUUCCUGCUGAGCUGUUUGGCUUGGAGGGAUAUUUGAAGAGUAAAAAAAAUGAAUGAAAAAAAAUUUCUCAGUCAUGAGCCUUCAGUCUUUGCUCAGGAGAGACCACCACAUUGUCAAGACUCUGACAGCACAUGUCUGUGAAAACACACUCUGCUUACCUGCUACAAAUGUUGUGUGGGUAUUGUUUUAGAGGUGGUUUCCCUGCAGUGUGGUUUACACUGUGAUAAAAAUACUAGGG
Molecule: long non-coding RNA, 495 nt
Filed under: Serinus canaria (Common canary)
Lineage: Eukaryota; Metazoa; Chordata; Aves; Passeriformes; Fringillidae
Description: lncRNA (ENSSCAG00000012646.1)
Source: RNAcentral